This 250-nucleotide ribosomal RNA is filed under the name uncultured bacterium. RNAcentral describes it as "partial 16S ribosomal RNA". It matches the Rfam family "Bacterial small subunit ribosomal RNA", at positions 524 to 773 of the family's 1533-position model. RNAcentral also lists the same sequence under 1 other name. The record is from RNAcentral.
UACGUAGGGUGCGAGCGUUAAUCGGAAUUACUGGGCGUAAAGCGUGCGCAGGCGGUUGUGUAAGACAGGUGUGAAAUCCCCGGGCUUAACCUGGGAACUGCGCUUGUGACUGCACAGCUAGAGUAUGGCAGAGGGGGGUGGAAUUCCACGUGUAGCAGUGAAAUGCGUAGAGAUGUGGAGGAACACCGAUGGCGAAGGCAGCCCCCUGGGCCAAUACUGACGCUCAUGCACGAAAGCGUGGGGAGCAAAC